UUGCAUGAUUAUCAUAUUUAAAUCUUUGCUUUCAACUCAAUUAAAUCAUUUGCAAAUAUGUACGACAUAGACAGUAGUUCACAAAAGUAUUUCAACAUUUGCAGAAAUCUUUUAUGAAUAUAUUAUGUAUAUUGUAAGGAAAAUUUUGCAAUUUUAUUAGCGUUUUAAUGAGAUAUGACUAUAAUGAUUAUAUUGGUAAAGUUUGAAACAAAUCUAAAAAUGUACGUCCAUACUUAAGAGCUACAAGAUAUUUAGUGCGAAUAUACAUUUCACAGAGAUUACGAAAAUAUUUAAACAGAAAAUUAUCUAUUAUAUCAAUAAACCUCAAUAUUCAGUGGAACCAUCUUUAUCAUUUAUUAUGUGUUUAAGCUGGUUAUUUAUACUGUAUACCAAUUCUUUGCUGAAUGUAUACGUUUGCAGCAAGUGCGUGUACAUAUAUUUUCAGAUUGUUUCAAAUGUUUCAUAUAAUGCAUAGAAUUUAUACAUAAAAGCUUAAUAUAGUGUCCAAAUAUGUAUUUUUAUCAGAUAUAAGUACUGCAAUGUUUUGUUUCAUAUGAUACUAGACUUGGAUAGAAAAAAUUUCCACUCGAUUCGGUUUGUACUGCAUUCUAGAAGUUUCUAAAAUGGUUAAUGAUAUGUAAUUUUCCUGUUUUUUCUUUUUCGUCGUAUAUCUCAAAGGAAACCAGCGCCGAUUAAAAAACCUCAUAACAAAAGAAUGCAUAAUGAGACAAGACUAGACUAGAACGCAGUUACUAUCUCUUAUUUCCAGUUAUUUCCUGCAUUUAAGUUAGAUAUAAUAAUACCGCUGCUUUUUUUAGAAUACCAUGUAAUCGUAAAAUUCAUGAGUUCCUGUCAGUCUUUUUGUAAAAAUGACGCGCUCGAUCAUUCCUGUACUUAAUUAUAGGGAAUGAGAUAAACCCAUCGCGAUCUAUUUGUGCGUUACGUGGAUGUAUGAACGUAUGCCUGCCAAAAUGUGGUGUUGCCAACUAUAAGAUAGAAAAUUCAUAAGAUUACAUAAUCGCGUUCCAAAGGAAAAUAGCUUCAUUUUCUACGUAAAUUCUUUAAUUGCCAAUCUGAACAAUAUUUAUCAUUCUAAAAGCAUAUUUUUUUAAGAAUAAUCUUAUAGGUUAUUUAAUCUCUAGUAUAUUAUCUAUACUUACUAUCCAAUCUUAUAUCACUAUUAUAUCUAAAUUAUUAUUAAACGUAUUUCUGUAACAAACAUAUUUGUAUGCUAACAAAAAAUACGACUGAUUCAGAAUAUUUAAGAAUAAUUGAAAAGUCGUGAAUUGCGAUCAUACGUGAUGUUACAUUAAACAAAUGGGACAACUUAAUCCCUGCAAUGUAAUUAUGUAUAUUAACAUGUGCAAUAGAUGGAUUCCGUUAUACUAAAUAGUCGAACUGUUUUAUCGACUUGACUUACAUUAUCAUUACAAUUACUCAGAAUUUCUAAGCAAAAUACUCCAAUGUUAUAAAUAUUAAGGGCAUCAUGUUGCUAAAUACUCUAUGUGUUUUAGAUAGAAUCAUAAUGAAUGGAACAACAGAACGUAUGAAAUGGAGACUAAAAUAAAUUGUACAGCAGUUAAUUCAAUGUCCUCAUCAUGAUUAAGAUCACAUCAAAGUGCAAUCCCGCACUUGGAUCAGAUUUAGCAAUUGCACUCAUGAAAAUGUAAUCAACUGUAUACAUAAUUGAUACGCGUGAUUGGUGCCAGGUGAAGGAAAAAUACAUACCGUAUAAAAAUGCUAAUGUCCUAAGAUGUUUCUUUUUUAAUGCGACAGAAUAUUCUAAAGUGACUGACACUAGUUGACGAGGAAAAGUUCAAAGAUUCGCAAAUAAUUCAACGCAUUCCAGACACUUAAAGGCGGGAAUUCAGUAAGUUUGCGCGAGAAAACGUUCAGCACGUGCGACCUACGAUUAUUCUAAUUAAAUUCUCCGGUUACAAACCAUUCCCAGGGUUCAUGAACGUGCGACUCUUAUCGAGGCCUGAAAGUGCGAUGUCGCCCUAUUUUACACGCCAUUGUUCGACGUCUUUCAUACAAAAUGAGCUUUAAAAGAGGCAAGAUCACCGGAAGGAUCCUGUCUUCGAGCCUUUGUACGCAUACAAUAUACAAUAGAAUGAAAAGCAUAUUUCAUAUCUUCGCCAACAAGUCAUCUAUUCGUGCGACUCUAUUUGGACUUUAAAAUCUUAGACAACAUUUAUAUCUUCUUUUUUAAAAAAAAGAAUAUUUCACAAUAAUACAAAGCUUAUGUUACUCAUAAAUAUCUCUUUUUCUGUCUUCAGUCUUUCAGGAAGAUACAUGUUUAUUUUGUGUCUGUCUGAACAAGAGAAUGACAUCAAUCUUUUUUGCUACGAAGUAAUUAAAUUCCAGUAUAUUUCGGAACGGAGACCUUCGGUUUUAUACGUUUAUUGUAUCACUGUUAUCAGACAAGACAAAUGUCUUCUUUCUUGUUUACGAUAUCCGCGCAGCUGCUGGCUUAAUGUGCACGCGCGAAUACUCGUGCUACUUCGCCUUAAUAACGUAACAUAAAUCGUUACAUAAAUAUAUACCAGGUUCCGAUAUAUUCGUUGUUACAGAAUUAACGAACAUCGUCAGAGGAAAGUGAAACGAGAGAGAAACUGCCAGUAUAAAUACCUAGGAUUCUGGAGAACAGUAAAUGUCCAUUGAUUUCCUUCCCAUACCACAGCUAUCGAUCCUUGCAGGAUUUAUUAUUCGGCACGUG
Molecule: long non-coding RNA, 2719 nt
Organism: Bombus huntii
Lineage: Eukaryota; Metazoa; Arthropoda; Insecta; Hymenoptera; Apidae
Exons: 2
Source: RefSeq, a predicted model, not a curated record